GACGAACGCUGGCGGCGUGCUUAACACAUGCAAGUCGAACGGAAAGGCCCUGCUUUUGUGGGGUGCUCGAGUGGCGAACGGGUGAGUAACACGUGAGUAACCUGCCCUUGACUUUGGGAUAACUUCAGGAAACUGGGGCUAAUACCAGAUAGGAGCUCCUGCUGCAUGGUGGGGGUUGGAAAGUUUCGGCGGUUGGGGAUGGACUCGCGGCUUAUCAGCUUGUUGGUGGGGUAGUGGCUUACCAAGGCUUUGACGGGUAGCCGGCCUGAGAGGGUGACCGGCCACAUUGGGACUGAGAUACGGCCCAGACUCCUACGGGAGGCAGCAGUGGGGAAUAUUGCACAAUGGGCGGAAGCCUGAUGCAGCCACGCCGCGUGCGGGAUGACGGCCUUCGGGUUGUAAACCGCUUUCGCCUGUGACGAAGCGUGAGUGACGGUAAUGGGUAAAGAAGCACCGGCUAACUACGUG
Molecule: ribosomal RNA, 468 nt
Filed under: uncultured bacterium
Lineage: Bacteria
Description: partial 16S ribosomal RNA
Rfam family: Bacterial small subunit ribosomal RNA
Source: RNAcentral